AGAGUUUGAUCCUGGCUCAGGAUGAACGCUAGCGGCAGGCUUAAUACAUGCAAGUCGUGGGGCAGCGCGGGUAGCAAUACCUGGCGGCGACCGGCAAACGGGUGCGGAACACGUACGCAACCUUCCUUUAAGCGGGGAAUAGCCCAGGGAAACUUGGAUUAAUACCCCAUAAGACAGUGGAGUGGCAUCACUCAGCUGUUAAAGCUCCGGCACUUAAAGAUGGGCGUGCGGCUGAUUAGGUAGUUGGCGGGGUAACGGCCCACCAAGCCGACGAUCAGUAACUGGUGUGAGAGCACGACCAGUCACACGGGCACUGAGACACGGGCCCGACUCCUACGGGAGGCAGCAGUAAGGAAUAUUGGUCAAUGGACGCAAGUCUGAACCAGCCAUGCCGCGUGGAGGAUGAAGGCCCUCUGGGUUGUAAACUUCUUUUAUUGGGGAAGAAACCUGACUUUUCUAAGGCAGUUGACGGUACCCGAUGAAUAAGCACCGGCUAACUCCGUGCCAGCAGCCGCGGUAAUACGGAGGGUGCAAGCGUUAUCCGGAUUCACUGGGUUUAAAGGGUGCGUAGGUGGGCAGGUAAGUCAGUGGUGAAAUCUCUGGGCUUAACCCAGAAACUGCCGUUGAUACUAUCUGUCUUGAAUAUAGUGGAGGUGAGCGGAAUAUGUCAUGUAGCGGUGAAAUGCUUAGAUAUGACAUAGAACAUCGAUUGCGAAGGCAGCUCGCUACACUAUCAUUGACACUGAGGCACGAAAGCGUGGGGAUCAAACAGGAUUAGAUACCCUGGUAGUCCACGCCCUAAACGAUGGAUACUCGACAUCAGCGAUACACUGUUGGUGUCUGAGCGAAAGCAUUAAGUAUCCCACCUGGGAAGUACGACCGCAAGGUUGAAACUCAAAGGAAUUGAC
Molecule: ribosomal RNA, 908 nt
Filed under: uncultured bacterium
Lineage: Bacteria
Description: bacterial SSU rRNA
Rfam family: Bacterial small subunit ribosomal RNA
Source: RNAcentral